RNAcentral lists this unclassified non-coding RNA (190 nucleotides) under Pasteurellaceae bacterium I50. RNAcentral's name for it is "partial RNaseP". The record is from RNAcentral. Lineage: Bacteria; Pseudomonadati; Pseudomonadota; Gammaproteobacteria; Pasteurellales; Pasteurellaceae.
UGCUCAAGCAACCUACCCGAACUCUCGGCGGGCCACCGAUUGAGUUCCUAUUUGGUCUUGCUACGAGUGGAGUUUACCUUGCUGCCGAAUGUUACCACCGGCACGGUGUGCUCUUACCACACCCUUUCACCCUUACCUUUUUCCGAAGAAAACGGCGGUGAUGCUCUCUGUUGCACUGGUCGUAGGCUCA